RNAcentral lists this long non-coding RNA (552 nucleotides) under Chinchilla lanigera (long-tailed chinchilla). RNAcentral's name for it is "lncRNA (ENSCLAG00000022996.1)". Lineage: Eukaryota; Metazoa; Chordata; Mammalia; Rodentia; Chinchillidae. The record is from RNAcentral.
GCAUUCAAUCUCAAAAAAGUAUUUAGAGACACUAUUUUAAGACGGUCUCGUUAAAAAUGACUAAAACUCUUCUAUUUCAUCAGAAAUUUCUUGUGCUUCACACUGAAGGAAUAUUUUGGAUUUGUAUGUCCAUUCGGCAUCCUAGCUGGUGCUGGAACUGCAGCUCAGCCAGGCCUUCCCACUUAUCCCGCUCUGAUUCACGAAGUCAAGUCCAUUCCAGUGUGGAAAAGAGACUGGAAAAUGAAAAACGUCCUGGGCUCCAGAUCUACAUUCCAGGAAGCCCAAGCCUGCAGCUCCAGGGGUUUUAGGGAACUGGACACGAAGGGAGACAGGAAGCAGGUGAGAACUGGCAGGGGCUGUGCAGAGAGGGACCCAAGGGAAUUCAACCUCCUAGUUCUGCUGACCGAUGUCCUGUAGUCUUGUACUCUCAGCCAACCAUGUCUGCAGGCUGAUCUGGAGCGCAGGCUACCACCCCUGCUCAGUCCCCUCCAUACUCCGGAUGUUGAAACCCACAGAGUCCUCUGACCCAGUGCUGAGCUCAGGGGAUACAGC